RNAcentral lists this transfer-messenger RNA (396 nucleotides) under Erysipelotrichaceae bacterium. It matches the Rfam family "transfer-messenger RNA". From Rfam's summary of the family: Bacterial tmRNA, also known as 10Sa RNA or SsrA, is named for its dual tRNA and mRNA-like properties. Its role is to liberate the mRNA from a stalled ribosome. To accomplish this part of the tmRNA is used as a reading frame that ends in a translation stop signal. Lineage: Bacteria; Bacillati; Bacillota; Erysipelotrichia; Erysipelotrichales; Erysipelotrichaceae. RNAcentral also lists the same sequence under 1 other name. The record is from RNAcentral.
GGGGCUGAAAUGGUUUCGACAGGGAUGCUUGCCUUGCUUAGGCUGCAGUCGUGUGGUGACGUUAUCACCAACCAAAAAUAACUGACAACAGUUAUAUGAGCGCCAAUCGCGCUCAAGUUUGCUGCGCUGCUUAAUUAGCUUCCGUAUAUAGGAACCGACCAAAAGGCCGGACAGCACGGAUUCUAGGGUUUAGCCUAUUACGCCUAGAAAAUCCGUCAUACAAAUAGGAUAAGAUCUAGCAGUUGACAAGUUAGCUAGGUACGAAAAAUUGUUUGGCUCGCAAUUCACGUUUUGUCGAUAUUGUCGGUGAAUUGUUAAAACUCAAUGUCGUCUAAACUGUAGACGCCUUUGAUGGGCCAUCCUUGGACACGAGUUCAACUCUCGUCAGCUCCACCA